This 279-nucleotide ribosomal RNA is filed under the name Salmonella enterica subsp. enterica serovar Newport. RNAcentral's name for it is "partial 23S ribosomal RNA". It matches the Rfam family "Bacterial large subunit ribosomal RNA", at positions 57 to 372 of the family's 2925-position model. Lineage: Bacteria; Pseudomonadati; Pseudomonadota; Gammaproteobacteria; Enterobacterales; Enterobacteriaceae. The record is from RNAcentral.
CGUGCUAAUCUGCGAUAAGCGCCGGUAAGGUGAUAUGAACCGUUAUAACCGGCGAUACCCGAAUGGGGAAACCCAGUGUGACUCGUCACACUAUCAUUAACUGAAUCCAUAGGUUAAUGAGGCGAACCGGGGGAACUGAAACAUCUAAGUACCCCGAGGAAAAGAAAUCAACCGAGAUUCCCCCAGUAGCGGCGAGCGAACGGGGAGGAGCCCAGAGCCUGAAUCAGCAUGUGUGUUAGUGGAAGCGUCUGGAAAGGCGCGCGAUACAGGGUGACAGCC